This 465-nucleotide ribosomal RNA is filed under the name uncultured bacterium. RNAcentral describes it as "partial 16S ribosomal RNA". It matches the Rfam family "Bacterial small subunit ribosomal RNA", at positions 338 to 795 of the family's 1533-position model. The record is from RNAcentral.
CCUACGGGUGGCAGCAGUAGGGAAUCUUCCACAAUGGGCGAAAGCCUGAUGGAGCAACGCCGCGUGGGUGAAGAAGGUCUUCUGAUCGUAAAACCCUGUUGUUAGAGAAGCAAGUGCGUGAGAGUAACUGUUCCCGUUUCGACGGUAUCUAACCAGAAAGCCACGGCUAACUACGUGCCAGCAGCCGCGGUAAUACGUAGGUGGCAAGCGUUAUCCGGAUUUAUUGGGCGUAAAGGGAACGCAGGCGGUCUUUUAAGUCUGAUGUGAAAGCCUUCGGCUUAACCGGAGUAGUGCAUUGGAAACUGGGAGACUUGAGUGCAGAAGAGGAGAGUGGAACUCCAGGUGUAGCGGUGAAAUGCGUAGAUAUAUGGAAGAACACCAGUGGCGAAAGCGGCUCUCUGGGCUGUAACUGACGCUGAGGUUCGAAAGCGUGGGUAGCAAACAGGAUUAGAUACCCUGGUAGUC